GGUGAACGCUGGCGGCGUGCCUAACACAUGCAAGUCGAGCGGUGCAGUUUGAAGCUUCGGUGGAAAGCUGCAUAGCGGCGGACGGGUGAGGAAAACGUAGGAACGUGCCCCUUGGAGUUGGAUAGCCACGGGAAACUGUGGGUAAACCGACAUAGACUCGAGAGAGUAAAGGCCGAAAGGCGCCAAGGGAGCGGCCUGCGGCCCAUCAGGUAGUUGGUAGUGUAAAGGACUACCAAGCCGACGACGGGUAGCCGGUCUGAGAGGAUGGCCGGCCACAAAGGGCACUGAGAGACGGGCCCUACUCCUACGGGAGGCAGCAGUCGAGAAUAGUCUACAAUGGUCGGAAGACUGAUAGUGCGACGCCGCGUGAACGAUGAAUCCCUUCGGGUGUAAAGUUCUUUAUAUGUGAGCAGUGCUUCUUAUAUUAACAGUAUGGGGAGAGAGAUAUUAGCAUAUGAAUAAGCAACGGCUAACUCCGUGCCAGCAGCCGCGGUAAUCUCGU
RNAcentral lists this ribosomal RNA (502 nucleotides) under uncultured bacterium. RNAcentral's name for it is "bacterial SSU rRNA". It matches the Rfam family "Bacterial small subunit ribosomal RNA", at positions 28 to 528 of the family's 1533-position model. The record is from RNAcentral.